This 527-nucleotide ribosomal RNA is filed under the name uncultured Acidobacteriota bacterium. RNAcentral describes it as "bacterial SSU rRNA". It matches the Rfam family "Bacterial small subunit ribosomal RNA", at positions 18 to 556 of the family's 1533-position model. Lineage: Bacteria; Pseudomonadati; Acidobacteriota. The record is from RNAcentral.
CCUGGCUCAGAAUCAACGCUGGCGGCGUGCCUCAGACAUGCAAGUCGAACGAUUAAACUUUCCUUCGGGAAAGAUAUAAAGUGGCGCACGGGUGAGUAACACGUAAGUAAUCUACCUUCGAGUGGGGAAUAACGUUCGGAAACGAACGCUAAUACCGCAUAAUGCAGCGGCAUCGAAAGAUGACAGUUGUUAAAGGAGCAAUUCGCUUGAAGAGGAGCUUGCGGCAGAUUAGCUAGUUGGUAAGGUAAUGGCUUACCAAGGCUUCGAUCUGUAUCCGGUCUAAGAGGACGGUCGGACACACUGACACUGAAUAACGGGUCAGACUCCUACGGGAGGCAGCAGUCGGGAAUUUUGGGCAAUGGGCGAAAGCCUGACCCAGCAACGCCGCGUGAAGGAUGAAGUAUUUCGGUAUGUAAACUUCGAAAGAAUGGGAAGAACUCAAUGACGGUACCAUUUAUAAGGUCCGGCUAACUACGUGCCAGCAGCCGCGGUAAUACGUAGGGACCAAGCGUUGUUCGGAUUUACUG